This 72-nucleotide transfer RNA is filed under the name Camelus bactrianus (Bactrian camel). It matches the Rfam family "tRNA". From Rfam's summary of the family: Transfer RNA (tRNA) molecules are approximately 80 nucleotides in length. Their secondary structure includes four short double-helical elements and three loops (D, anti-codon, and T loops). Lineage: Eukaryota; Metazoa; Chordata; Mammalia; Artiodactyla; Camelidae. The record is from Rfam by way of RNAcentral. RNAcentral also lists the same sequence under 1 other name.
GGAGGGGAUGAUCAGUGGUAGGGCACGUGCUUAGCAUGCACCAGGUCCUGGGUUCAAUUCCCAGCACCUCCA